GCUGCCCACGCCAAAUGAAUUUCUCGAUCUCAUCUUGGAGUUGGAUGUAGUCCUCCAUAUUGUGAUCGUGGUCGCAGUGAUAGAGACAAUACUUAUUCGGAUCGCAUUAUCCCAGUUUGGACUGCAUCCUUCUUGCUCUGGGGGGCUUCUCCCUUAUCUCCAUCAAUGCCCGAGUUCUAGGGGUAUUUAGCAACGUAUAGUUGGUAAACUUCCUUAGUGGAGACACAUGUCGUGCUCCCCUAAAAGGACUUCUAG
Molecule: long non-coding RNA, 255 nt
Filed under: Elaeis guineensis (African oil palm)
Lineage: Eukaryota; Viridiplantae; Streptophyta; Magnoliopsida; Arecales; Arecaceae
Description: long non-coding RNA (EGUI_LNC034283)
Source: RNAcentral